Molecule: ribosomal RNA, 465 nt
Filed under: uncultured bacterium
Lineage: Bacteria
Description: partial 16S ribosomal RNA
Rfam family: Bacterial small subunit ribosomal RNA
Source: RNAcentral
GACGAACGCUGGCGGCGUGCUUAACACAUGCCAGUCGUACGGUAAGGCCCUUUCGGGGGUACACGAGUGGCGCACGGGUGAGUAACACGUGAGUAACCUGCCCACAACUUUGGGAUAACGCUAGGAAACUGGUGCUAAUACUGGAUAUGUGCUCCUGCUGCAUGGUGGGGGUUGGAAAGCUCCGGCGGUUGUGGAUGGACUCGCGGCCUAUCAGCUUGUUGGUGGGGUAGUGGCCUACCAAGGCGGCGACGGGUAGCCGGCCUGAGAGGGUGACCGGCCACAUUGGGACUGAGAUACGGCCCAGACUCCUACGGGAGGCAGCAGUGGGGAAUAUUGCACAAUGGGCGCAAGCCUGAUGCAGCAACGCCGCGUGCGGGAUGACGGCCUUCGGGUUGAAAACCGCUUUCAGCAGGGACGAAGCUUUUUGUGACGGUACCUGCAGAAGAAGCACCGGCUAACUACGUG